CCCUAUUAGACACUCUGUGCCGGAGGUCUGUAGGCCAAAACAACAGAAGUCCGGCACAGAGCGUCUAGUUCUGGG
RNAcentral lists this microRNA precursor (75 nucleotides) under Eptesicus fuscus (big brown bat). RNAcentral's name for it is "microRNA efu-mir-9338 precursor (efu-mir-9338-3, efu-mir-9338-4)". The stretch from base 4 to 70 matches the Rfam family "mir-9338 microRNA precursor family". Lineage: Eukaryota; Metazoa; Chordata; Mammalia; Chiroptera; Vespertilionidae. The record is from miRBase by way of RNAcentral.